This 468-nucleotide ribosomal RNA is filed under the name uncultured bacterium. RNAcentral describes it as "partial 16S ribosomal RNA". It matches the Rfam family "Bacterial small subunit ribosomal RNA", at positions 28 to 507 of the family's 1533-position model. The record is from RNAcentral.
GACGAACGCUGGCGGCGUGCUUAACACAUGCAAGUCGAACGGAAAGGCCCUGCUUUUGUGGGGUGCUCGAGUGGCGAACGGGUGAGUAACACGUGAGUAACCUGCCCUUGACUUUGGGAUAACUUCAGGAAACUGGGGCUAAUACCGGAUAGGAUCUCCUGCUGCAUGGUGGGGGUUGGAAAGUUUCGGCGGUUGGGGAUGUACUCGCGGCUUAUCCGCUUGUUGGUGUGGUAGUGGCUUACCAAGGCUUUGACGGGUAGCCGGCCUGAGAGGGUGACCGGCCACAAUGGGACUGAGAUACGGACCAGACUCCUACGGGAGGCAGCAGGGGGGAAUAUUGCACAAUGGGGGGAGGUCAGAGGCAGCAACGCCGCGAGCGGGAUGAUGGGCUUCGGGGUGUAAACAGAUUUCGCAGGUGACGAAGCGUGAGUGACGGUAAUGGGUAAAGAAGCACCGGCUAACUACGUG